This 440-nucleotide ribosomal RNA is filed under the name uncultured bacterium. RNAcentral describes it as "bacterial SSU rRNA". It matches the Rfam family "Bacterial small subunit ribosomal RNA", at positions 338 to 795 of the family's 1533-position model. The record is from RNAcentral.
CCUACGGGGGGCUGCAGUGGGGGAUAUUGCACAAUGGAGGAAACUCUGAUGCAGCAACGCCGCGUGAGGGAAGAAGGUCUUCGGAUUGUAAACCUCUGUCCUCAGGGACGAUAAUGACGGUACCUGAGGAGGAAGCUCCGGCUAACUACGUGCCAGCAGCCGCGGUAAUACGUAGGGAGCAAGCGUUGUCCGGAUUUACUGGGUGUAAAGGGUGCGUAGGCGGCCCUGCAAGUCAGGUGUGAAAACUAUGGGCUUAACUCAUAGAUUGCACUUGAAACUGUGGGGCUAGCGUGUAGUAGAGGCAGGCUAAAUUCCUGGUGCAUCGGCGAACUGCAUAGAGACCGGGAAGUACACCAGGGGCGAAGGCGGUCUUCUUGGUGUUAACUGACGCUGAGGCACGAAAGCGGGGGUAGGAAACAUGAUUAGCUACCCUAGUAGUC